This is a small nuclear RNA of Procavia capensis (Cape rock hyrax), 110 nucleotides long. Lineage: Eukaryota; Metazoa; Chordata; Mammalia; Hyracoidea; Procaviidae. The record is from Ensembl.
GCGUUGUGUGAGAGACGGGUAGAGAAGGACGGAAGAGGCCCUUAGGCCUUAGAACAAGUAUGUGGUUAAGGCUUUGUCUCUUUCUCUGUGGCAUCUAACCACAGUUUUGG